AUUGAACGCUGGCGGCAGGCCUAACACAUGCAAGUCGAACGGUAACAGGAAGCAGCUUGCUGCUUCGCUGACGAGUGGCGGACGGGUGAGUAAUGUCUGGGAAGCUGCCUGAUGGAGUGGGAUAACUACUGGAAACGGUAGCUAAUACCGCAUAAUGUCGCAAGACCAAAGAGGGGGACCUUCGGGCCUCCUGCCAUCGGAUGUGCCCAGAUGGGAUUAGCUUGUUGGUGGGGUAACGGCUCACCAAGGCGACGAUCCCUAGCUGGUCUGAGAGGAUGACCAGCCACACUGGAACUGAGACACGGUCCAGACUCCUACGGGAGGCAGCAGUGGGGAAUAUUGCACAAUGGGCGCAAGCCUGAUGCAGCCAUGCCGCGUGUAUGAAGAAGGCCUUCGGGUUGUAAAGUACUUUCAGCGGGGAGGAAGGGAGUAAAGUUAAUACCUUUGCUCAUUGACGUUACCCGCAGAAGAAGCACCGGCUAACUCCGUG
RNAcentral lists this ribosomal RNA (490 nucleotides) under uncultured bacterium. RNAcentral's name for it is "partial 16S ribosomal RNA". It matches the Rfam family "Bacterial small subunit ribosomal RNA", at positions 30 to 507 of the family's 1533-position model. The record is from RNAcentral.